AUUGAACGCUGGCGGCAGGCCUAACACAUGCAAGUCGAGCGCGAAAGGCCUUCGGCUGAGUAGAGCGGCGGACGGGUGAGUAACGCGUAGGAAUCUACCUGGUAGUGGGGGACAACUUGGGGAAACUCAAGCUAAUACCGCAUACGCCCUAUGGGGGAAAGUGGGGGACCUUCGGGCCUCACGCUAUCAGAUGAGCCUGCGUAGGAUUAGCUAGUUGGUGAGGUAAAGGCUCACCAAGGCGACGAUCCUUAGCUGGUCUGAGAGGAUGAUCAGCCACACUGGGACUGAGACACGGCCCAGACUCCUACGGGAGGCAGCAGUGGGGAAUAUUGCGCAAUGGGGGCAACCCUGACGCAGCCAUGCCGCGUGUGUGAAGAAGGCCUCGGUU
Molecule: ribosomal RNA, 388 nt
Filed under: uncultured bacterium
Lineage: Bacteria
Description: bacterial SSU rRNA
Rfam family: Bacterial small subunit ribosomal RNA
Source: RNAcentral